AAAUUGAAGAGUUUGAUCAUGGCUCAGAUUGAACGCUGGCGGCAGGCCUAACACAUGCAAGUCGAGCGGUAGCACAGAGAGCUUGCUCGGGUGACGAGCGGCGGACGGGUGAGUAAUGUCUGGGAAACUGCCUGAUGGAGGGGAUAACUACUGGAAACGGUAGCUAAUACCGCAUAAUGUCGCAAGACCAAAGUGGGGACCUUCGGGCCUCAUGCCAUCAGAUGUGCCCAGAUGGGAUUAGCUAGUAGGUGGGUAAUGGCUCACCUAGGCGACGAUCCCUAGCUGGUCUGAGAGGAUGACCAGCCACACUGGAACUGAGACACGGUCCAGACUCCUACGGAGGCAGCAGUGGGGAAUAUUGCAAUGGGCGCAAGCCUGAUGCAGCCAUGCCGCGUGUGUGAAGAAGGCCUUCGGGUUGUAAAGCACUUUCAGCGGGGAGGAAGGCGGUGAGGUUAAUAACCUUGUCGAUUGACGUUACCCGCAGAAGAAGCACCGGCUAACCCGUGCCAGCAGCCGCGGUAAUACGGAGGGUGCAAGCGUUAAUCGGAAUUACUGGGCGUAAGCGCACGCAGGCGGUCUGUCAAGUCGGAUGUGAAAUCCCCGGGCUUAACCUCGGGAACUGCAUUCGAAACUGGCAGGCUAGAGUCUUGUAGAGGGGGUAGAACCGUGUGUAGCGGUGAAAUGCGUAGAGAUCUGAGGAAUACCGGUGGCGAAGGCGGCCCCUGGACAAAGACUGACGCUCAGGUGCGAAAGCGUGGGGAGCAAACAGGAUUAGAUACCCGUAGUCCACGCCGUAAACGAUGUCGAUUUGGAGGUUGUGCCCUUGAGGCGUGGCUUCCGAGCUAACGCGUUAAAUCGACCGCCGGGAGUACGGCCGCAAGGUUAAAACUCAAAUGAAUUGACGGGGGCCCGCACAAGCGGUGGAGCAU
RNAcentral lists this ribosomal RNA (929 nucleotides) under Klebsiella pneumoniae. RNAcentral describes it as "bacterial SSU rRNA". It matches the Rfam family "Bacterial small subunit ribosomal RNA", at positions 1 to 940 of the family's 1533-position model. The record is from RNAcentral. Lineage: Bacteria; Pseudomonadati; Pseudomonadota; Gammaproteobacteria; Enterobacterales; Enterobacteriaceae.